RNAcentral lists this non-coding RNA (268 nucleotides) under Paenibacillus sp. Its description in RNAcentral is "T-box sequence". It matches the Rfam family "T-box leader". Rfam says of the family: Uncharged tRNA acts as the effector for transcription antitermination of genes in the T-box leader family. T-boxes are found upstream of many aminoacyl-tRNA synthetase genes and some amino acid biosynthetic genes usually in Gram-positive bacteria. The record is from RNAcentral. Lineage: Bacteria; Bacillati; Bacillota; Bacilli; Caryophanales; Paenibacillaceae.
UGAAAUGCGAUGAAGAGACGAGUAAAUAAACGAAUUCUUUCACAGAGAGCUCCGUUAGCUGAAAAGGAGUAAGAGUUAUUUAUUGAAAAAAGACUCAGAGCAGCACAUUGGAGCCCUAGAUAAAGGGGUGAUGGUGUGACAGGAGCUCCUGUUACAGAGCUAGAGUAUAAGCAUUGCCAGAUGGCAAAGCCGUACUUGAAGAGGCUAAUAUGGCGACAUAGUAGUGAACCUAGGGUGGUACCGCGAGUAUACAAAUCUCGUCCCUAAG